This 299-nucleotide ribosomal RNA is filed under the name Thermoanaerobacter ethanolicus subsp. thermohydrosulfuricus. RNAcentral describes it as "Thermoanaerobacter thermohydrosulfuricus 16S rRNA. Bacterial SSU". It matches the Rfam family "Bacterial small subunit ribosomal RNA", at positions 1 to 214 of the family's 1533-position model. Lineage: Bacteria; Bacillati; Bacillota; Clostridia; Thermoanaerobacterales; Thermoanaerobacteraceae. The record is from RNAcentral.
AUGAAGCUGAGAGUUUGAUCCUGGCUCAGGACGAACGCUGGCGGCGUGCCUAACACAUGCAAGUCGAGCGGUCCGGCACUCAACUAAGUGCUUACUUAAGGGGAAGGAAGUAUAGUAGAAGAAGAAGGUAAUAAAAGUGAAGCAAAGUAAGGUAAGCACGGAGUUGAGUGCCGGAUAGCGGCGGACGGGUGAGUAACGCGUGGGCAACCUACCCUUAAGACCGGGAUAACACCUCGAAAGGGGUGCUAAUACUGGAUAAGCUCCUUGUAGGGCAUCCUAUGGGGAGGGAAGGUAGCGGA